Columba livia (rock pigeon) is the source of this 887-nucleotide long non-coding RNA. RefSeq lists it as uncharacterized. NCBI's taxonomy places the organism in Eukaryota, Metazoa, Chordata, Aves, Columbiformes, Columbidae. The record is from RefSeq and is a predicted model, not a curated record. The transcript is spliced from 2 exons.
CGUGCCGUGUACAGGCUUCUCAGCACUAAAUAAAGAAAUAUACCUACUCUGGUGCCAGAAUUCUUCUACUCUUUGUAGCUCCAGGCUGGUUUUAAUGCCACAUCUUUUUCUUUCCUUCUCCCUACAGUGGAAGCGAACAUUGACUCCAGCUGAGCAGAGGCCAGCAUCAAACAGUGGGAACUCCAUACUUGCUCUGGGCAGCCUGUUCCAGGGCUCUGGCACCCCCAAAGAAUUUUCUACUCAUGUUCAGAUGGAACCUCCCAUGUUUCAGUCUAUGCUCAUUGCCCCUCAUCCUGUCGUUGGGCACCACUGAACAGAGUCUGGUCCAUCUGCUUUACAGCCACCCUGAGAUAUUGAUCAGCAUCAAUAAGAUCCCCCUCAGCUUCUCUUUUCCAGCUGAACAGCCCCAGCUCUCUCAGUGUCUCCUCAUCAGAAAGAUGCUCUGGACCCCUGAGCAUCUCUGUGUCCCUCCACCGGACUCUCACCAGCAAUUCCUUGUCCUUCCUGAAGUGGGGAGCCCAGAACUGGACCCCGGACUCCAACCUGAGACCUCAUCCCUCCACAUGUCCCUGGAGGAGCAACUGUACCAUUGCUGCCAGUAACCUGCUGGUUGAAUAUCAGCAACUUCCAGAGCUCCUGUUUGCUCAGGUGCUGUCGGAGAGAAGAGAGGACGUCCAAAGACCCUGAUAUGCUGAGGAUGAUACAGGUUUCUCCCCUGCCUCCCCCUUAAAACAAUAUCUGGGAGUAAUAGGUGUCUGUCACACUUUGCGGGCCACCGUCCACAGACGCAGAGCAAGAUUUCGGCGCCGUUAGAGAUUUCUACCUGCAUGAAAUCUGGAGGUAAUUUAAUGGCUCACGAGAAAGGAAAUAAAUCUAUUAGAAUGGAA